ACGGGUGAGUAACACGUAUCCAACCUGCCGUCUACUCUUGGACAGCCUUCUGAAAGGAAGAUUAAUACAAGAUGGCAUCAUGAGUCCGCAUGUUCACAUGAUUAAAGGUAUUCCGGUAGACGAUGGGGAUGCGUUCCAUUAGACAGUAGGCGGGGUAACGGCCCACCUAGUCUUCGAUGGAUAGGGGUUCUGAGAGGAAGGUCCCCCACAUUGGAACUGAGACACGGUCCAA
RNAcentral lists this ribosomal RNA (232 nucleotides) under uncultured bacterium. Its description in RNAcentral is "partial 16S ribosomal RNA". It matches the Rfam family "Bacterial small subunit ribosomal RNA", at positions 102 to 334 of the family's 1533-position model. The record is from RNAcentral.